GGACAGGUGUCCGAGUGGCUGAAGGAGCCGGUCUCGAAAACCGGUAUACCCUCACGGGUAUCGUGUGUUCGAAUCCCACCCUGUCCG
Molecule: transfer RNA, 87 nt
Filed under: Gemmatimonadales bacterium
Lineage: Bacteria; Pseudomonadati; Gemmatimonadota; Gemmatimonadia; Gemmatimonadales
Description: tRNA-Ser
Rfam family: tRNA
About the family: Transfer RNA (tRNA) molecules are approximately 80 nucleotides in length. Their secondary structure includes four short double-helical elements and three loops (D, anti-codon, and T loops).
Source: RNAcentral